Molecule: ribosomal RNA, 729 nt
Filed under: Triticum aestivum (bread wheat)
Lineage: Eukaryota; Viridiplantae; Streptophyta; Magnoliopsida; Poales; Poaceae
Description: partial small subunit ribosomal RNA
Source: RNAcentral
AUGGAAUCUGAUAGCCGAACCCGCGCUAUCACAACCUCAGUGUCACGACGAUCUCUCCGGGGCCGCGCUCGGUGCUUUGCAAGUAUGAUGCACUUGUCACCAACCGGACUUGGAACUUGGUCCCUCAUCCUCCCGGCGCCAACGAGCCAUCUCCGGCAACUGGAUUUUUUUGGCAUAAACUCCUAUCUGAUGGCUCUCUCGACAGGUACAAGGCUUGUUGGGUCAUUCACGGCUUCGCACAACGUGCCAGUGUUGACUUCUCAGAGACUUUCUCUCCUGUUGUCAAACCCGCCACGAUCCGUGUGGUCUUACAGCUGGCCACCUCUUGACGAUGGCAUGUACAUCAGCUUGACAUCAACAAUGCUUUCCUAUACGGUCAUCUCCAGAAGCGUGUUCUUUGUCAGCAGCCGGUUGGUUUCGUCAACCCCCAACGACCGGAUGACAUAUGCUUGUUAUCACGGUCCUUGUAUGCCUGAAGCCCCCCGUGCGUGGUAUCAACGCAUCGCGGCGUUCCUCGCUGCUCUCGAUCUUCACAGCAGCACCUCCGACACGUCGUUACUCAUGCUCCACCUAGUCGACCAUGUCGCCAUGCUCCUUCUAUAUGUUCAUGAUAAUGUCAUCACUUCAUCGAGAGAGGACCUCCUUCCUGACAUCAUUGGUCGUCUUGGCUCCGAGUUUCGACUGAAGGACCUAGGCACGUUGCACUUCUUCCUCGGCAUUAAUGUGUGA